AUUGAACGCUGGCGGCAGGCCUAACACAUGCAAGUCGAGCGGAGUGGCGGACGGGUGAGUAAUGCCUAGGAAUCUGCCUGGUAGUGGGGGAUAACGUCCGGAAACGGGCGCUAAUACCGCCUACUAUCAGAUUAGCCUAGGUCGGAUGAGCUAGUUGGUGGGGUAACAGCCUACCAAGGCGACGCUCCGUAACUGGUCUUAGAGGAUGAUCAGUCACACUGGAACUGAGACACGGUCCAGACUCUUACGGGAGGAAGCAGUGGGGAAUAUUGGACAAGGGGCGAAAGCCGGAGCCAGACAUGCCGCGUGUGGGAAGAAGGUCUUCGGAUUGGAAAGCACUUUAAGUUGGGAGGCGUGACCAACAGAAUAAGCACCGGCUAACUUCGUGCCAGCAGCCGCGGUAAUAC
RNAcentral lists this ribosomal RNA (407 nucleotides) under uncultured bacterium. RNAcentral's name for it is "partial 16S ribosomal RNA". It matches the Rfam family "Bacterial small subunit ribosomal RNA", at positions 30 to 526 of the family's 1533-position model. The record is from RNAcentral.